This 78-nucleotide transfer RNA is filed under the name Pseudomonas fluorescens. RNAcentral describes it as "tRNA-Pro". It matches the Rfam family "tRNA". From Rfam's summary of the family: Transfer RNA (tRNA) molecules are approximately 80 nucleotides in length. Their secondary structure includes four short double-helical elements and three loops (D, anti-codon, and T loops). Further hydrogen bonds mediate the characteristic L-shaped molecular structure. tRNAs have two regions of fundamental functional importance: the anti-codon, which is responsible for specific mRNA codon recognition, and the 3' end, to which the tRNAs corresponding amino acid is attached (by aminoacyl-tRNA synthetases). tRNAs cope with the degeneracy of the genetic code in two manners: having more than one tRNA (with a specific anti-codon) for a particular amino acid; and 'wobble' base-pairing, i.e. permitting non-standard base-pairing at the 3rd anti-codon position. RNAcentral also lists the same sequence under 3 other names. The record is from RNAcentral. Lineage: Bacteria; Pseudomonadati; Pseudomonadota; Gammaproteobacteria; Pseudomonadales; Pseudomonadaceae.
CGGAGUAUAGCGCAGCUAGGUUAGCGCGUCCGGCUGGGGGCCGGAAGGUCGCAGGUUCGAAUCCUGCUACUCCGACCA